UGGGGAAUUUUGGACAAUGGGCGAAAGCCUGAUCCAGCAAUGCCGCGUGUGUGAAGAAGGCCUUCGGGUUGUAAAGCACUUUUGUCCGGAAAGAAAUGGCUCUGGUUAAUACCUGGGGUCGAUGACGGUACCGGAAGAAUAAGGACCGGCUAACUACGUGCCAGCAGCCGCGGUAAUACGUAGGGUCCAAGCGUUAAUCGGAAUUACUGGGCGUAAAGCGUGCGCAGGCGGUUGUGCAAGACCGAUGUGAAAUCCCCGAGCUUAACUUGGGAAUUGCAUUGGUGACUGCACGGCUAGAGUGUGUCAGAGGGGGGUAGAAUUCCACGUGUAGCAGUGAAAUGCGUAGAGAUGUGGAGGAAUACCGAUGGCGAAGGCAGCCCCCAGGGGUAACACUGACGCUCAUGCACGAAAGCGUGGGGAGCAAACAGG
This 429-nucleotide ribosomal RNA is filed under the name bacterium. RNAcentral's name for it is "partial 16S ribosomal RNA". It matches the Rfam family "Bacterial small subunit ribosomal RNA", at positions 355 to 776 of the family's 1533-position model. The record is from RNAcentral.